CGGGGGGGCAAGCGUUGUUCGGAACUACUGGGCGUAAAGGGCUCGUAGGUGGCCAACUAAGUCAGACGUGAAAUCCCUCGGCUUAACCGGGGAACUGCAUCUGAUACUGGAUGGCUUGAGUUUGGGAGAGGGACGCGGAAUUCCAGGUGUAGCGGUGAAAUGCGUAGAUAUCUGGAGGAACACCGGUGGCGAAGGCGGCGUCCUGGACCAACACUGACACUGAUGAGCGAAAGCCAGGGGAGCAAACGGGAUUAGAUACCCCGGUAGUCCUGGCCCUAAACGAUGAAUGCUUGGUGUGGCGGGUAUCGAUCCCUGCCGUGCCGAAGCUAACGCAUUAAGCAUUCCGCCUGGGGAGUACGGUCGCAAGGCUG
Molecule: ribosomal RNA, 371 nt
Filed under: uncultured organism
Description: bacterial SSU rRNA
Rfam family: Bacterial small subunit ribosomal RNA
Source: RNAcentral